GAUGAAGAACGCAGCGAAAUGCGAUAAGUAAUGUGAAUUGCAGAAUUCAGUGAAUCAUCGAAUCUUUGAACGCACCUUGCGCCCUUUGGCUAUUCCGAAGGGCAUGCCUGUUUGAGUAUCAUGAACACCUCAACUCUUCACGGCUUGCCGUGAUGAGUUUGGACUUUGGGGGUCUUGCUGGCCUACGAGCCAGCUCCUCUCAAAUGUAUUAGCUUGCCGGUGUUUGGUGGCAUCACAGGUGUGAUAACUAUCUACGCUUGUGGUUUUCCACUAGGUAACCUUCAGCAAUGGAGGUUCACCGGAGCUCACAAAUGUCUCUCCUUGCCAAGGACAGAUUUUGACCAUUUGAUCUCAAAUCAGGUAGGACUACCCGCUGAACUUAAGCAUAUCAAUAAGCGGAGGA
Molecule: unclassified non-coding RNA, 403 nt
Filed under: soil metagenome
Description: partial contains 5.8S ribosomal RNA, internal transcribed spacer 2, and large subunit ribosomal RNA
Rfam family: 5.8S ribosomal RNA (bases 1-121)
Source: RNAcentral